AACGCGAAGAACCUUACCUACUCUUGACAUCCAGAGAACUUAGCAGAGAUGCUUUGGUGCCUUCGGGAACUCUGAGACGGGUGCUGCAUGGCUGUCGUCAGCUCGUGUUGUGAAAUGUUGGGUUAAGUCCCGCAACGAGCGCAACCCUUAUCCUUUGUUGCCAGCGGUUAGGCCGGGAACUCAAAGGAGACUGCCAGUGAUAAACUGGAGGAAGGUGGGGAUGACGUCAAGUCAUCAUGGCCCUUACGACCAGGGCUACACACGUGCUACAAUGGCAUAUACAAAGAGAAGCGACCUCGCGAGAGCAAGCGGACCUCAUAAAGUAUGUCGUAGUCCGGAUUGGAGUCUGCAACUCGACUCCAUGAAGUCGGAAUCGCUAGUAAUCGUAGAUCAGAAUGCUACGGUGAAUACGUUCCCGGGUCUUGUACACACCG
This 434-nucleotide ribosomal RNA is filed under the name uncultured bacterium. Its description in RNAcentral is "bacterial SSU rRNA". It matches the Rfam family "Bacterial small subunit ribosomal RNA", at positions 958 to 1392 of the family's 1533-position model. The record is from RNAcentral.